UAAUCAAGUGUUUUUAUGGCACUUUCAAAAAUCCAUAUCCACCUUGUGUGCAAUGUCAGUCGAUCUUCUUCAUGGAGAUCGACCAAACAUCAACCUUUAUUUUUUAACUCUUUGUCUGAAAAAUAUUAUGAAUAAACAAUUCAAAAUA
RNAcentral lists this unclassified non-coding RNA (148 nucleotides) under soil metagenome. RNAcentral describes it as "partial internal transcribed spacer 1". The record is from RNAcentral.